GGGUUGUGAGGUUAAGCGACUAAGCGUACACGGUGGAUGCCCUGGCAGUCAGAGGCGAUGAAGGACGUGCUAAUCUGCGAAAAGCGUCGGUAAGGUGAUAUGAACCGUUACAGCCGGCGAUGUCCGAAUGGGGAAACCCAGUGCAAUUCGUUGCACUAUCGUUAACUGAAUACAUAGGUUAACGAGGCGAACCGGGGGAACUGAAACAUCUAAGUACCCCGAGGAAAAGAAAUCAACCGAGAUUCCCCCAGUAGCGGCGAGCGAACGGGGAGCAGCCCAGAGUCUGAAUCAGCUUG
RNAcentral lists this ribosomal RNA (296 nucleotides) under Klebsiella pneumoniae. RNAcentral's name for it is "partial 23S ribosomal RNA". It matches the Rfam family "Bacterial large subunit ribosomal RNA", at positions 1 to 288 of the family's 2925-position model. Lineage: Bacteria; Pseudomonadati; Pseudomonadota; Gammaproteobacteria; Enterobacterales; Enterobacteriaceae. The record is from RNAcentral.